This 2482-nucleotide long non-coding RNA is filed under the name Monomorium pharaonis (pharaoh ant). Its description in RNAcentral is "uncharacterized LOC105838965, transcript variant X1". Lineage: Eukaryota; Metazoa; Arthropoda; Insecta; Hymenoptera; Formicidae. The record is from RNAcentral.
CUAAAGUAUUGAUGUAUGCUAUAAGUAUACUGAUAUGAUGAUAAAUCGCUGUUAUUCGCUUUGCGAGAGUAAAAAAUAAAUAAAUAUUGAGUAAUAUGUCUAUAAAUCAUACAAUUAAUAAUAAUAAUCUUUUAUAAGAAAAGUCGUGUAGAUCCGAAAAGUGCACGUUUUGUCAUCGCUUUUCCACGUAAGUGAUUGACGUUUAAAUCCGCUACAAGUUUCACGGCGAUGAUGUGACAGUUCGUGGUUAAUGACGCGUGCGAGGUUAAUAGUUAGUUAUUUGUGUUUUUGUACGCGUAUUAUAUUGCAAAGGAAAAUAUGGCUGUGCUGAAUUUGGAGAUUGGUUAACGUACUGUGCGUUGUAGAAUCAGGACACAUUGCCUGUUUUUCAUUGUGCAAUAGGCUUUACUUAAAAAUUAAUUAAAUUAUAAUUGUGACAAUGUUGCAUUUACUGUUUCAAGAGAGAGAAAGACAAUGUGCAGCAAUUCAUGCAAGCAGAAUUUUAAAGCGAAGAAUUCGAGACAUGUCAAACCCAUUUACUCUUCCUGAAAAAGAGUGGGUAUGUAUCGCCUAACACAACAAUUAACAUUAUUUCUCACAGAGGAAUUAAGUCCACAUCUUCCUCCACGUAUAAAAGUAACAGCAAUUUCGAAUGAAAUCAAGGUACUGUGUGCCUUGAAUUUCUAUGCCUAAGGAAGUUAUCAAAAGGCUGUUGGAAUUGAUAGUAGAUUGGGUAUAGCUCAGCCUACUAAAUUAUAAUAAGACUAGAAUUCCAGGAUUAGUAGGAUUCGUAGAUGGAACAAACGUAGCAAUAAAAAUUCCCACUUUACAUGAAGGAUUGUAUGUAAACAGGAAAGGUUUUCAUGCUCAGCAUGUGCAAAUUAUUUCGGAGGAACAAACCUUCCCUCUUCCAAAAAACUUGACGUGCACGCAAUUCUUGUCAGAUCGCGUAUUUGCGUUGAAGGCUUGGGACAACGUUAGUGAAAGAGGAGAUAUUUUUUAUACACGGCGGUUAUAAUUCAAGUAUUUUGACACGAUUGAUUAUCAAUAUGGAUCCAAUUAUCGAAACGAUAAUGAGCGUGGUAACGCUAUAUUCAUUCAAUUUUAAUGAUGAAGAUUCUGACGACGAUGAAGACACCGAAUUACUCGAAUUGCAAUUACAUGAAUUACGCAGACGUCUUGAAACUGAAAAAAAUAAGCCUAAUCGAGUGGAGAUGUUUGUUGAACGUACAAUCGCAAACAGCACAGCUUUGGAAUUUCAAAGCCAUUUCCGUAUGUCUGUGGAGACAUUUGAAUGGCUAUACAGAACUGUCGCACCUGAACUCCAAAGUGCUCGAAUAAGUGGACGCCAAAUGGUUGAUCCAAAAACAAAUACUCGCUGUGCUUUGGCUGUUGGUAACUCCUGAUAGUUACAGAUCAAUCGGCAAUCGUUUCAAUAUGGGAAAAAGCAGCAUAUUUGUCAGUUUUGUCAGGGUGAUUAGAGCCAUAAAUGGCCUGGCUCCUCGCCUCAUAAUUUGGCCUUCCGGGGAAAAAGCUAUUCAAUGUGAGAACAAAUUUUAUCACAUGGCGCGUAUCAGAGGGGUAGUAGGAGCUAUCGAUGGCACAUAUGUGCCAAUUAAAGCACCAUCGGAGAACCCAGAAACUUAUAUAAAUAGAAAGUGCUUCCACGGUAUAACUCUACAGUGCAUCUGCGACAGUUCCAUGAUGUUCACUAAUUGUUUUACAAUUGCUAUCCAAGUUCUGUCUCAGACGUCAGAAUUUUUAGAAAUUCCAAUAUAUACAGAGAGUUCAUGGAACGUCCGUAUAAUUAUUUUCAAGGCAACAGAUUUGUAAUUGGGGAUAAAGCAUAUCCCGUAUAUACAUGGUGUGUGCCUCCGUAUAUUGAUCGAGGUAAUUUGGCCAAAUGGCAAACUAAUUUUAAUUCUGCACAUGCCAAGACAAGACAAGUGAUUGAACCAUUCGCAUUACUGUUCGGAAGAUUUCGACGUCUAAAAUAUUUAGACAUGAAUAGGAUUGAUCUGAUUCCUGCAACAAUAAUCGCAGUAUGCGUACUGCAUAAUAUAUGUUUACAUCAUUCAGAUCAUUUAGCUGAGAUGUAUGAGGCUGAGGGAAGAGCUUUUAUGUUUGGAAAUGAAAAUAAUAUAAAUAAUGAGGAAAACGUUAAUAUAAAUGAUGGAGAAAACGUUAAUAUUGCCCAAGAAGGCAUUAGAUUCCGUAACAGAUUAGCACGAAAUCUAGCGCAAAAUUUUGAAUAAAGCACAGUACGCCUGUGAUAAUAAUAAAUAUAUGGUAACAAAUAUGUCGACGAAGUUAAUGUAUUUAAACAUUUGAUACAAGUAGUAUAUGUUACAUUGUACAUUUAACGUUUUUAUGACAUAUUAGAUUUUUUUAAUUAUAUGUAAUUAAACUUUUAAAAUGUUAAAUAUAACAAUGUUCAGUUGUAUACUUUGAAGACAUGUUAAAUAAAUAGAAUUACAGCCUA